GUUUAGGGUUGCUCUAUUAUGUCAUCCGAGUCGAGCGAAUCGAUGGGAGCUUGCUCCCUGAGAUUAGCGGCGGACGGGUGAGUAACACGUGGGCAACCUGCCUAUAAGACUGGGAUAACUUCGGGAAACCGGAGCUAAUACCGGAUACGUUCUUUUCUCGCAUGAGAGAAGAUGGAAAGACGGUUUACGCUGUCACUUAUAGAUGGGCCCGCGGCGCAUUAGCUAGUUGGUGAGGUAAUGGCUCACCAAGGCGACGAUGCGUAGCCGACCUGAGAGGGUGAUCGGCCACACUGGGACUGAGACACGGCCCAGACUCCUACGGGAGGCAGCAGUAGGGAAUCUUCCGCAAUGGACGAAAGUCUGACGGAGCAACGCCGCGUGAACGAAGAAGGCCUUCGGGUCGUAAAGUUCUGUUGUUAGGGAAGAACAAGUACCAGAGUAACUGCUGGUACCUUGACGGUACCUAACCAGAAAGCCACGGCUAACUACGUGCCAGCAGCCGCGGUAAUACGUAGGUGGCAAGCGUUGUCCGGAAUUAUU
RNAcentral lists this ribosomal RNA (540 nucleotides) under Peribacillus butanolivorans. RNAcentral describes it as "bacterial SSU rRNA". It matches the Rfam family "Bacterial small subunit ribosomal RNA", at positions 35 to 555 of the family's 1533-position model. Lineage: Bacteria; Bacillati; Bacillota; Bacilli; Caryophanales; Bacillaceae. The record is from RNAcentral.